Molecule: non-coding RNA, 22 nt
Filed under: Arabidopsis thaliana (thale cress)
Lineage: Eukaryota; Viridiplantae; Streptophyta; Magnoliopsida; Brassicales; Brassicaceae
Source: RNAcentral
CAUAGUCUUUCUCGUUGUCGGU